UGAUUUGAUAAGCCAGAGAGAAAUUUACAAGGAAGGGGAAGAUGAAGAAGGAGAAAGAUACACACCCGUAGCACUGUUUCACUGCUUGUGAAGCUUGCCUCCUUGCAGGUGGGUACCACAGGCUUGAACCUGGAUCCUCUGUGUGGUAAUGGGUGUGUUGUUCCAGGUGCGCCACUUCCCGGCCCCCAGACACCUCAUUCAAAUGAGUUUCGCAUUAGGGCCUGGUCCCACCUAGGAGCCUAGGUUUAGUAACUGUGCCCCAAGGUGGAGAUUGUGAGCCAGGUUUUCCCAGAUUGUGUUUCUAAAUGUGAGACAGAUCGAGCACCUAUACACCAAGGCGCUUUGCCCUCAGCUGGCUGGGACUUGGUGAACAUUCCUGGGUGCGGAUGGAUCCUGCUGGAGGGCCUGGCACUAGAAGUCUGUUACAGAUAAAUAAGUAUGAGAGAAGGGAGAGAGAGAGAGAGAUAGAGAGAAUAAGAAGAGAAAAGCAAAAAGGAAAAGAAUUCUCCUUUUUUCUUGGAUUCUUGGAGAGGAUCAGAGGUUCUCCAACCUCCCUGGAGGAGAAUCUUGGAAGCCGCUGGUCUGGAUUAUAGCUGCUCCAGACUGCUCCAGCUAAGGAACCCAGUUUCAAUCCCCAGUACCACCAUUAGCUUUAGCUGAGCAGUAUUCUGGUGUUUCUCUGCGUGUUUUUCUCCCUGGAUCUGUGUGAGGACAAGAAAAUAAAGACACUAUUCAGAGAAAUACGGGAGCCCUUUGGUUGGCUCUAGUCCCAGGUAAGGUGCAUUCUGCUUUAUGUCCACAAGGCGGCAGCAUAACACUACAGGCAGGUGGGCAGGCAGGCAGGCAUAAGUGGUCUGAACUAAGUGUUCAUUUGGGCAGGGUGUCUGCAGUUUGUUCACAGGAUCUUUUCUUGGAAGCUUCCUUCCCGGGAGCUAGAGAGAGGCAGGAGACAGGGGUCAGUGGGCAGAGCACCAGGUCGUGUGGUUGAGGAACCAGGCUCCCUGGUAUAGUGGUUUGGCCACAGACACACAGUGGUCCCGGAACUCUGCCUUUGGCCCCCCUCUCUCUGUCCCGUGGGUCAGCCCCCUUCUGCCUCCUGCUCUGCUCAAAGCCCUAAGGGGAAAUAAGUAAUUUGAGCACCUGUGCUGGGGGGCUGGGCUGUGAGGACGCCGCCGCCGCUGUCGUUCCCAGACUUCCGUGCACAAAGGACCAGGGUUGGAGCCCCUUUCCCAACCUGCAGAGGAAGGAGAGAGCCUUGCUGUGCCCAGUGUCAUGGUGUUGCAGGAACCUCAGAGCUCAGGAUAGAGAGAAACUGAGUAGAGAGGAAGAGGAAGAUAGAUGCCUGCAGACCUGCUUCACAGCUCCUGAAGAGUCCUACUGAAGGUGGGAAGCAGGGUCUCGAACCCUCGUCCUCGCCCAGGUCCUUCCACACACCUUCUGUUUGCUUAACCGAGUGCGCCAUUGCCUGGUCCCCCCGGAAUAGUUUGUUGCUUUGUCAAGUCAGCAUUCAAAUGUUAAGUAUCUUGACUGGUAGGAUGUAGGCAAGUAGGCAGACAGGUAUGUGCCGCUUACAUACACAGAUGUAGGGAAUCUUUCAAAAAAGAUUUGUGUGUGAGCGAGGGAGCACGAGCAUGUGCAUCACUCUGGACCAUGUGGUGCCUGGCGUGGGACCUGGGUCUCCUGCUAGAGGGCCCGGCACUGUAGCCACUGUGCCGCCUCCUGAGCCACGUGGCCGUGAGGAUCCGAGCGCACGGUUUGCACGGACGUUGGGGAGCUCUCAGCUGGGCCUCAUGGGGGAAGUGAUUAAGGUUUGCAAAGACCUUCAAACGAGUGAGCUGGAUAGAUUUCACCUGGAGGAGAAGCCGUGCUAAUGAGAGAAGGGGAAGAAAACACUUAGAUGCCAGAAUGGGACAGACAGAAGACAGUCGAGGAAAAGGGAGGUGGCAUCUCCACAAAGAACAAUACAAAAAGCUCUAAGAUCUGUCUCUCGGCUGCAUCCAAGACCCAGGUGCUAGCUGCCAUGCCGGGUAGUCACAGAGCCGGUGCCGAUCCUGCAGGGCCUGAGACCUGCUUCCUGCCCUGUUCCAGCCUGUCCUUCCGCCUCCGGAGCUGAAAAUUAAAAUAAUUAAUCACUGCGGUUGUGUUCACAGCAGACUUGUUGCCGAGAACUCAGGGAACAGCAGGGCUGGGAUCUCCCUCACUUAUAUUCUCUCUGCUUCCUGCUGUGUCACUCAGCCCCUGUCCCCUCCUGCCACUCUCAGCAGUCUGGAUGGCAGACAAGGCUGGAGUCAAGCUGCAGAGGACAGAGGACGCCCUGCAGACACUUGCAGUUCCUGCCUGAAAGACAAAGACCCACCUCAGGGAAUCAGACCUGGAGAGGUUUAAUGGUUCUGAGGGGCCUCCCUCCUUCUUCCCUGUCUUUAACAAGAGUUAAUGAAAAUAAAACACGUUGAAAA
Long non-coding RNA from Erinaceus europaeus (western European hedgehog), 2456 nucleotides. RefSeq lists it as uncharacterized. The transcript is spliced from 5 exons. The record is from RefSeq and is a predicted model, not a curated record. NCBI's taxonomy places the organism in Eukaryota, Metazoa, Chordata, Mammalia, Eulipotyphla, Erinaceidae.